GAUGAAGAACGCAGCGAAAUGCGAUACUUGGUGUGAAUUGCAGAAUCCCGUGAACCAUCGAGUCUUUGAACGCAAGUUGCGCCUCAAGCCAUUAGGUUGAGGGCACGUCUGCCUGGGCGUCACAUAUCGUUGCCUGAUGCCAGUUUCCUCGUGAUGGGUGACUGUGCAGGGCGAAUGAUGGCUUCCCGUGAGCAUUGUUGCCUCAUGGUUGGUUGAAAAUUGAGUCCUUGGUAGGGAGCGCCGUGAUAGAUGGUGGUUGAGUGACGAACGAGACCCAAUCAUGUGAGACCCCUACCGAAUUUGGCCUUCAUGACCCACAUGCGUCUUUGGAACGCUCAUGACGAGACCUCAGGUCAGGCGGGGCUACCCGCUGAGUUUAAGCAUAUCAAUAAGCUGAGGA
Molecule: unclassified non-coding RNA, 400 nt
Filed under: soil metagenome
Description: partial contains 5.8S ribosomal RNA, internal transcribed spacer 2, and large subunit ribosomal RNA
Rfam family: 5.8S ribosomal RNA (bases 1-122)
Source: RNAcentral